Molecule: ribosomal RNA, 820 nt
Filed under: uncultured Anaerovibrio sp.
Lineage: Bacteria; Bacillati; Bacillota; Negativicutes; Selenomonadales; Selenomonadaceae
Description: bacterial SSU rRNA
Rfam family: Bacterial small subunit ribosomal RNA
Source: RNAcentral
CUGACGGUGCUUACCAUGCAAGUCGAACGGAGAUUCAGCAAUGGAUCUUAGUGGCGAACGGGUGAGUAACGCGUAGGCAAUCUGCCUUCUAGAUGGGGACAACAUCCCGAAAGGGGUGCUAAUACCGAAUGUUGUACCGUUUCCGCAUGGAGAUGAUACUAAAGGUGGCCUCUGAAUAUGCUACCGCUAGAAGAUGAGCCUGCGUCUGAUUAGCUAGUUGGAGGGGUAACGGCCCACCAAGGCUUCGAUCAGUAGCCGGUCUGAGAGGAUGAACGGCCACACUGGGACUGAGACACGGCCCAGACUCCUACGGGAGGCAGCAGUGGGGAAUCUUCCGCAAUGGACGAAAGUCUGACGGAGCAACGCCGCGUGAGUGAAGAAGGUUUUCGGAUCGUAAAGCUCUUUCGUUAGGGACGAACGUGCUCUUUGUGAAUAAUGAGGAGUAAUGACGGUACCUAAAUAAGAAGCCACGGCUAACUACGUGCCAGCAGCCGCGGUAAUACGUAGGUGGCAAGCGUUGUCCGGAAUUAUUGGGCGUAAAGCGCGCGCAGGCGGGAUAUCAAGUCUGUCUUAAAAGUGCGAGGCUCAACCUCGUGAGGGGACGGAAACUGGUAUUCUUGAGUGUCGGAGAGGAAAGUGGAAUUCCAAGUGUAGCGGUGAAAUGCGUAGAGAUUUGGAAGAACACCAGUGGCGAAGGCGACUUUCUGGACGAUGUCUGACGCUGAGGCGCGAAAGCUAGGGGAGCGAACGGGAUUAGAUACCCCGGUAGUCCUAGCCGUAAACGAUGGGUACUAGGUGUAGGGGGUAUCGACCCCUCCUG